AUUGAACGCUGGCGGCAUGCCUUACGCAUGCAAGUCGAACGGCAGCGCGGGCUUCGGCCUGGCGGCGAGUGGCGGACGGGUGAGUAAUGCAUCGGAACGUGCCCAGGAGUGGGGGAUAACGUAGCGAAAGUUACGCUAAUACCGCAUACGUACUGAGGUAGAGAGCGGGGGAUCGAAAGACCUCGCGCUCAUGGAGCGGCCGAUGUCGGAUUAGCUAGUUGGUGGGGUAAAAGCUCACCAAGGCGACGAUCCGUAGCUGGUCUGAGAGGACGACCAGCCACACUGGGACUGAGACACGGCCCAGACUCCUACGGGAGGCAGCAGUGGGGAAUCUUGGACAAUGGGGGAAACCCUGGUCCAGCAAUGCCGCGUGUGGGAUGAAGGCCCUCGGGUUGUAAACCACUUUUGGCAGGAAAGAAAUCGCCUGUGCUAAUACCACGGGCGGAUGACGGUACCUGCAGAAUAAGCACCGGCUAACUACGUGCCAGCCGCCGCCGUAA
RNAcentral lists this ribosomal RNA (500 nucleotides) under uncultured bacterium. RNAcentral describes it as "partial 16S ribosomal RNA". It matches the Rfam family "Bacterial small subunit ribosomal RNA", at positions 29 to 523 of the family's 1533-position model. The record is from RNAcentral.